Molecule: ribosomal RNA, 497 nt
Filed under: uncultured bacterium
Lineage: Bacteria
Description: partial 16S ribosomal RNA
Rfam family: Bacterial small subunit ribosomal RNA
Source: RNAcentral
GAUGAACGCUGGCGGCGUACCUAAUACAUGCAAGUCGAGCGGACGGACGAGAAGCUUGCUUCUCUGAUGUUAGCGGCGGACGGGUGAGUAACACGUGGAUAACCUACCUAUAAGACUGGGAUAACUUCGGGAAACCGGAGCUAAUACCGGAUAAUAUUUUGAACCGCAUGGUUCAAAAGUGAAAGACGGUCUUGCUGUCACUUAUAGAUGGAUCCGCGCUGCAUUAGCUAGUUGGUAAGGUAACGGCUUACCAAGGCAACGAUGCAUAGCCGACCUGAGAGGGUGAUCGGCCACACUGGAACUGAGACACGGUCCAGACUCCUACGGGAGGCAGCAGUAGGGAAUCUUCCGCAAUGGGCGAAAGCCUGACGGAGCAACGCCGCGUGAGUGAUGAAGGUCUUCGGAUCGUAAAACUCUGUUAUUAGGGAAGAACAUAUGUGUAAGUAACUGUGCACAUCUUGACGGUACCUAAUCAGAAAGCCACGGCUAACUACGUG